Peptostreptococcaceae bacterium oral taxon 113 is the source of this 113-nucleotide regulatory RNA element. It matches the Rfam family "FMN riboswitch aptamer (RFN element)". From Rfam's summary of the family: The RFN element is a highly conserved domain that is found frequently in the 5'-untranslated regions of prokaryotic mRNAs that encode for flavin mononucleotide (FMN) biosynthesis and transport proteins. The record is from Rfam. Lineage: Bacteria; Bacillati; Bacillota; Clostridia; Peptostreptococcales; Peptostreptococcaceae.
AAAUAUCUUCAGGGGUGGGUGAAAUUCCCUACCGGCGGUGACAGUCCGCGAGCGCAAGCUGAUUUGGUGCAAUUCCAAAACCGACAGUACAGUCUGGAUGAGAGAAGAUGCUG